This 607-nucleotide ribosomal RNA is filed under the name Aconitum carmichaelii. RNAcentral describes it as "eukaryotic LSU rRNA". The stretch from base 236 to 391 matches the Rfam family "5.8S ribosomal RNA". RNAcentral also lists the same sequence under 1 other name. Lineage: Eukaryota; Viridiplantae; Streptophyta; Magnoliopsida; Ranunculales; Ranunculaceae. The record is from RNAcentral.
UCGAAACCUGCCUAGCAGAACGACCCGCGAACUCGUGAAAACAACUCUGUUGGGGACUGGGGAGGGGCGCGAGCCCCCGACCGACCCCCUUCGCCGUGCCUCGGCGCCGGCCGCUUGCGGCCGACCGUGGUUUGGCACAAACCAAAAACCCGGCGCAACCAGCGUCAAGGAAAUCUUAGCGGAAACAAGGCGGAGCCUCGCUUGCGGGGCGACGCCGCGAAUCCGAUAUUUGAACGACUCUCGGCAACGGAUAUCUCGGCUCUUGCAUCGAUGAAGAACGUAGCGAAAUGCGAUACUUGGUGUGAAUUGCAGAAUCCCGUGAACCAUCGAGUCUUUGAACGCAAGUUGCGCCCGAGGCCUUCUGGUCGAGGGCACGUCUGCCUGGGCGUCACGCACAGCGUCGCCCCCAACCACACAUGUUGUGGAAGGGGAGCGGAGAUUGGCCCCCCGAGCCCCGACGGGCACGGUCGGCACAAAUGCCCGUCCCUGGCAGCGGUCGCCGCGGUCAAGUGGUGGCUUCAAAUACCAUUUCGGUGACCGGUUGGCGCCGCAGCCCUAGUUGGGACAGAAUCGACCCGCAGAGGCCGUUCCGACGGCGUUUCACCCU